This 307-nucleotide ribosomal RNA is filed under the name uncultured Cryptanaerobacter sp. RNAcentral describes it as "bacterial SSU rRNA". It matches the Rfam family "Bacterial small subunit ribosomal RNA", at positions 1077 to 1382 of the family's 1533-position model. The record is from RNAcentral. Lineage: Bacteria; Bacillati; Bacillota; Clostridia; Eubacteriales; Desulfotomaculaceae.
GGGUUAAGUCCCGCAACGAGCGCAACCCCUACGUUUAGUUGCUAACGUGUAACGAUGAGCACUCUAGGCGGACUGCCGUUGACAAAACGGAGGAAGGUGGGGAUGACGUCAAAUCAUCAUGCCCCUUAUGUUCUGGGCUACACACGUGCUACAAUGGCCGGUACAAAGGGACGCAAAGCCGCGAGGUGGAGCAAAUCCGAUAAAAGCCGGUCUCAGUUCGGAUUGCAGGCUGCAAUUCGCCUGCAUGAAGUCGGAAUCGCUAGUAAUCGCAGGUCAGCAUACUGCGGUGAAUACGUUCCCGGGCCUU